Molecule: ribosomal RNA, 391 nt
Filed under: uncultured bacterium
Lineage: Bacteria
Description: bacterial SSU rRNA
Rfam family: Bacterial small subunit ribosomal RNA
Source: RNAcentral
AUUGAAUGCUGGCGGCAUGCCUAACACAUGCAAGUCGAACGGCAGCACAGCAGUAGCAAUACUGUGGGUGGCGAGUGGCGGACGGGUGAGGAAUACGUCGGAAUCUGCCCAGUCGUGGGGGAUAACUAGCCGAAAGGUUAGCUAAUACCGCAUACGACCGAGAGGUGAAAGCGGGGGACCGCAAGGCCUCGCGCGAUUGGAUGAGCCGACGUCGGAUUAGCUAGUUGGCGGGGUAAAGGCCCACCAAGGCGACGAUCCGUAGCUGGUCUGAGAGGAUGAUCAGCCACACUGGAACUGAGACACGGUCCAGACUCCUACGGGAGGCAGCAGUGGGGAAUUUUGGACAAUGGGCGCAAGCCUGAUCCAGCCAUGCCGCGUGAGUGAAGAAGGC